UCUUUCCCUCCCCUCUCCUGUCAUUUUUUUCGCUAUGCGCACACCCCGCAUCUCUGUUUCUAAUUCUAAUAUCAAGCGAAAUGCCAACGGCUCGAUUCAUGCCUAGAUGAAUGGGCCGUCCGUUGCACCUCCUUUUUUACUAUACUACUACGUAAGCUGCUCGUAAUGACACUCUUAUCACGUGGUUGAAUAUAAAUGAAUGCACAAAAGAUAUUAAGCAAAAUUCCAUGGCUCCAAGACUCACGCUGGCAAAUGAACUGGUGGACCACAUCUCCAAUCGUGCGUAAUGUUUAAUGCUCCAUCCAAAAAAAGAUGGGUGCAACACGAGGAUUCAGUGCUUUAGUGGUAGACUAAUCGCGCCCAUCCCAUGCCCCGCUACAAGUGCAUGUGCCACUUCAGCUUCCCUCCCCCCUCCGAUCAUUUGUCUCACUGUACACGCACACCUCACCUCUGUUUCUAGUUUUAAUAUCAAGCAAAAUGUCUCGGUGCCUUGACUCACGCCCAGAUGUACGGAUUGCCCGCCGCACCUAUGUUUUCAUCGUUCUAC
This 547-nucleotide long non-coding RNA is filed under the name Carica papaya (papaya). Its description in RNAcentral is "long non-coding RNA (CPAP_LNC016122)". Lineage: Eukaryota; Viridiplantae; Streptophyta; Magnoliopsida; Brassicales; Caricaceae. The record is from RNAcentral.